GCGUGGGUGAAGAAGGUCUUCGGAUUGUAAAGCCCUUUCGGCGGGGACGAUGAUGACGGUACCCGCAGAAGAAGCCCCGGCUAACUUCGUGCCAGCAGCCGCGGUAAUACGAAGGGGGCUAGCGUUGCUCGGAAUGACUGGGCGUAAAGGGCGCGUAGGCGGUUCAUACAGUCAGGCGUGAAAUUCCUGGGCUCAACCUGGGGGCUGCGCUUGCGACGUAUGGGCUGGAGUGCGGAAGAGGGUCGUGGAAUUCCCAGUGUAGAGGUGAAAUUCGU
This 275-nucleotide ribosomal RNA is filed under the name uncultured bacterium. Its description in RNAcentral is "partial 16S ribosomal RNA". It matches the Rfam family "Bacterial small subunit ribosomal RNA", at positions 399 to 691 of the family's 1533-position model. The record is from RNAcentral.